RNAcentral lists this ribosomal RNA (460 nucleotides) under uncultured bacterium. RNAcentral's name for it is "partial 16S ribosomal RNA". It matches the Rfam family "Bacterial small subunit ribosomal RNA", at positions 338 to 795 of the family's 1533-position model. The record is from RNAcentral.
CCUACGGGCGGCAGCAGUGAGGAAUAUUGGUCAAUGGACGAGAGUCUGAACCAGCCAAGUAGCGUGAAGGAUGACUGCCCUAUGGGUUGUAAACUUCUUUUAUAUGGGAAUAAAAUAGGGUACGCAUAUCUUCUUGUAUGUACCAUAUGAAUAAGGAUCGGCUAACUCCGUGCCAGCAGCCGCGGUAAUACGGAGGAUCCGAGCGUUAUCCGGAUUUAUUGGGUUUAAAGGGUGCGUAGGUGGAUUGUUAAGUCAGUUGUGAAAGUUUGCGGCUCAACCGUAAAAUUGCAGUUGAAACUGGCAGUCUUGAGUACAGUAGAGGUAGGCGGAAUUCGUGGUGUAGCGGUGAAAUGCUUAGAUAUCACACAGAACUCCGAUUGCGAAGGCAGCUCACUAGACUGCGACUGACACUGAUGCUCGAAAGUGUGGGUAUCAAACAGGAUUAGAUACCCCUGUAGUC